This is a non-coding RNA of Podarcis lilfordi (Lilford's wall lizard), 125 nucleotides long. NCBI's taxonomy places the organism in Eukaryota, Metazoa, Chordata, Lepidosauria, Squamata, Lacertidae. The record is from the annotation of a GenBank genome assembly.
GCUGCCUCAUGGUGUAUUUUCUCAAAGGCUAUUAUUAACAUGUGCUGUAGCAAAGCGCAUUGCAAGAAUCCUUGGGUACAACACAUGUUAAUAAUAGCCUUUGAGAAAAUACAUCAUGAGGCAGA